RNAcentral lists this ribosomal RNA (245 nucleotides) under uncultured bacterium. Its description in RNAcentral is "partial 16S ribosomal RNA". It matches the Rfam family "Bacterial small subunit ribosomal RNA", at positions 796 to 1041 of the family's 1533-position model. The record is from RNAcentral.
CACGCAGUAAACGAUGAAUACUAGCUGUAUGCGAUAUACUGUAUGUGGCAAAGCGAAAGCGUUAAGUAUUCCACCUGGGGAGUACGUUCGCAAGAAUGAAACUCAAAGGAAUUGACGGGGACCCGCACAAGCGGUGGAUGAUGUGGUUUAAUUCGAUGCAACGCGAAAAACCUUACCCACCUUUGACAUGGUCGGAACCCUUUAGAGAUAGAGGGGUGCUCGAAAGAGAGCCGAUACACAGGUGC